RNAcentral lists this non-coding RNA (30 nucleotides) under Mus musculus (house mouse). Lineage: Eukaryota; Metazoa; Chordata; Mammalia; Rodentia; Muridae. The record is from RNAcentral.
UAAGCAAUUGUGUCCUCUAAUGAUCUUCCU